AUGGACUGUGGGUAAUAAUAAUUGGGCCGUGGGCAACAAACUAAGAGUCCAAAACUAUUUAGAUUGUUUUUUCGUAUUUUUCUUUGCUUCUGCAAUGGACCGUUGGUAAAAAAAAUCUGGUGUUCUUUGAGUGAAGAGAGAAUCGAUUCGAUCUCAAACAACAAAGUCAAUCUGAUUCUCUCAUCUUCUUCUCAAAGAAGAUUCUAAUGUAAUCGAAUCGAUUGGAACCUUUUUCUCUCAUCUUCUUCUUCCUCAUCAAUUAGUAAGAAGAAAUUGGAGUUUUUGCUCUACUCAAACUCUCCCUCAUUGUUUCCUUUCAAUCUAACGAUAGAGAAUCAUCAAAAUAGGUAUUUUGAAUCUUCGAUCUUCAGUUUAAAGUUGAUUAGGUUGACUCUUUAUGCUGUUAUGUGAAAAUGAUUGGUUAUUUCUAUUUAUGAUUUAGGGAUUUAGAUUAUUAGAUUUUGCGAUUUUAUCAUCUGUAGUUUUCAAUUUCACCAUCUCUCUAUGAAUUUGAUGAAGUCACUAACUUUGUGUUAGUAGAAUUGAAUUAAUUGAACCUGCAAAGUGCAAACUAGUUAUUGAAAGUAAACAAAGGGAUAGAUGCAUUAAGCAAUUAGGAAUUUUGGAUUAGGUAAAUAUUUUGGAGUUGAAUAAUGAUUAAUGUAAUGAUUUUUUUUUUUUAUGUUUCAAAUUAGUUUGUUUCUUUGUUCUUGACUUGGUGUUUUAUCUUUUUGUCAAUCCUUUAUUUUACUAAAUAUUUGUUUAUAUCCUUUUCAGAAUUAUAUUUGGUGGAGAAGAGUGGAGCCACAAAUGGAAGAAGGCGAUUCAGCAGGAUCAAGCCGUUUCAGUAGUGGUGGUAAACCAAGUUUUAGAAAAGGUUAGAUUUUCAGGUUUCUUUGAUAUUCAAAGUGAUGUAGAGAUUCAAUUGUAAAUUAACGAAACUUGUCAGACUGUCGUUUUUCAUAUUUUAAUUAUACUAUCUAGCAUGUUUCACCAUGGACUGAUCAUGGUGCUCAUCCGAGUCUCAAGAAAUGCCUAUUGAAUAAAUACUAUUAGAACUCCUAAUAUAAAAUGUAUUUCCUCGCACUUUUAUACUAUCAAUCUGAAUAUAUCAUGUUGUUCACUCGUACUGUUGAUCGAUGUGUCGCUCGACUUGGACCAUUUUUUUUUUUAUUUUGUUUUUUGUAGUUUUCAAUUUAAAACCAAUAUCACAAACCUGCUGGUUUCAAAAUAUUUUAGAGUAGUGAUUAGUGUUUACUCAAAUUUGAUCCUCUGUCAAACUGAUUAUAUACAAGUUGGUUGGUCUUAGAAAGGGGAGACAUCAGACAUGCUUUUGAUUGGUACAGUAGUAUCAUCUUUUGUAGUGUUAAUGAGUGAUAUACCAACUGCCUUCUGAGUGUUUGACACCCGUUUGGGGAUUCACGUUCUAAGUUGCAGAAAACAGCCUAUGAAAAAUAGUUGCUGAAAUGUUGAAUGCACGGGAAUUGGCCAAAGAUAUAAUAAUACAUGCAAAUUGAGAAACUCCCAUGCAUGCUGGCAUGGAUUAUUUUUCUUCUUCUGUAUAGCUAGUAAACUUUUAGCCAUAUGUAUUAUACUUCACGUCACUAACAUAUCCCAUACUGAAUUGUAUUUGAUGGUUUCAUACCCAAAUUUGGUGAAAAUAUAAAGGGGUUUUCCAAUUUUGAAAUAACGCAGGUCUUACCCAGAAACUACAUUAAUGAUCUGUUAGGUGAAACUACAAGAAUGCUUUAAAAGUUAAAAAACCUCAGUUUAAGUCUUUUGAAUUGAAUUCUCCUAAAAAACGACUGUAUGUGUCUACUAUUUGUCUAUCUACCUAGUUUUCCAUCAUUCAAAGUACUGUAUCAGCUUUUUAUUUGCUAUUGAGUUCACACUUUUGCGAUGAUUCGACUCAAUUUUGCGAACCAACCAUCUUCCCCUGUUGAAUAUGUUAAAAACUUAUCGUCAGAAACAUCCGAACUUGCUAGACGUGAUCUCCCUAUUAAUUAUGCUAAAAUCACAGAUAUGCCAAAGGAUAAAUACACCAAACUUGUUGUUGUAUUGGUUAAACAUUUUAAAUUUGUUGAUUGUAAUAGUGUGGAUGGUGAUUACGUUUGGGACAAGGUCAGAGAUGCUUGGAAACGCAACAAGUAUCAACUGAAAAGAAAAUAUGUUGACGGAAAAGAUCCGGCUGUGGUGAAAGAAGUAGCCCCUGAUGGUAAAUACAUUUUUUUUUUGUAAUAUUUUUUGGGAUCAAUUUUGGUUUGCUGCUCUUCUGUCUUCUCCGUAACGAUGACAAGGUCUUGGUCCUUGCUAGCUAGUAUCGUAUCAUCAUUAUAUGAUAAUAAUAAUUUCACGACUUUGGUUUUAUUGCUAAAAUUCCUACAAUUACGAAUCACACAUUAUGUAAGGUUGAAAUUCACAAUAACACAAUUGGUGCUCGAUACAGAUACUAAAUCCGCUUGUUGUAAGGAGCUAAUAUCUAGGUACAAUAGUUUGCUUCUUACUCUUCUUUCUCUCACUUGUACUUCUUAUUUUGACAAUGUUGAGUCCCUUUAUUAUCUGUUGUUUCUUCACACUUCAUAAUUCUAAUCUGAUAACAUUAAUUAGUUUUUUUAGUGCGUAAUAUCUAUAUCUGUUCGUUCUAAUGACUAGUGGCUUUGACAAUUAGAACCAUAACAAUUCUGGAAUCAAAUAUUGUACCAAAAUAUUGAGUGAAUUAUAACAUCUAGGGGUUUAAACGGACCAAUAUUCUGUUGUUCAUGGCCAACCUUACUGCUUAUAUCCUGGCAAAGUUUCAGUAAGGCAGGACGGCUGUGUAGUUGAUCCAAUUAUAUGUUUUUUUAUCCAUGUGUAGGAUGCUUCAGGGACUACACUUGUGGAUCUCAUCACAACAGACCCGACAGCUGCUCCUCCGUUUACUUCAGGAACACGAUAAUUUAUUUUAUUGUUGUAAUUGUUUCAAAGUCGAUGAUAUACAUGUUAAUGUUGUAACCAUAAUUUUGGAGUUUAUUUCAUUGUUGUAAUUGUUUCAAAAGUUGAUGAUAUAAGGUUACUGUUGUAACCAUUAUUUUGGAGUUUUAUCAUAAAUUUUUGAGAAGAUUUUUCUCUUUUGGAAUUGGCAUUAGCAUGCAGUACUGAAA
This 3140-nucleotide long non-coding RNA is filed under the name Aquilegia coerulea. RNAcentral describes it as "long non-coding RNA (ACOE_LNC001683)". Lineage: Eukaryota; Viridiplantae; Streptophyta; Magnoliopsida; Ranunculales; Ranunculaceae. The record is from RNAcentral.